GGUGGCUCAAUGGUAGAGUGCUUGCCUUACAUACAUGAGGCGCUGGGUUCGAUUCCUCAGCACCA
This 65-nucleotide transfer RNA is filed under the name Dipodomys ordii (Ord's kangaroo rat). It matches the Rfam family "tRNA". Rfam says of the family: Transfer RNA (tRNA) molecules are approximately 80 nucleotides in length. The record is from Rfam by way of RNAcentral. Lineage: Eukaryota; Metazoa; Chordata; Mammalia; Rodentia; Heteromyidae.